CAGUCGCCGCGGUAAUACGAACCGUGCGAACGUUAUUCGGAAUCACUGGGCUUAAAGCGCGUGUAGGUGGGACGGCACGUCGGCCGCUGAAAGCCCCCGGCCUAACCGGGGAAGUGGCGCCGAUACGACCGCCCUGGAGGGACGUAGGGGGGGCUGGAACUUCCGGUGGAGCGGUGAAAUGCGUUGAGAUCGGAAGGAACGCCCGUGGCGAAAGCGAGCCCCUGGACGUUUUCUGACACUGAGACGCGAAAGCCAGGGGAGCGAACGGGAUUAGAUACCCCCGUAGUCCCUGUCUCUUAUA
Molecule: ribosomal RNA, 301 nt
Filed under: uncultured bacterium
Lineage: Bacteria
Description: partial 16S ribosomal RNA
Rfam family: Bacterial small subunit ribosomal RNA
Source: RNAcentral